UAGCUAAGAUACGAUAAUAUUACAAUCAUGUGGUGCACUUUUAUAUUCCAAACUAAAAAAGUGGCAGCCAUAUUAUGUACGGGCCAAUUAUAACAUCAUCAAAACAAGGAGGGACGAUGGCAAGUAGGAGUGGAGUGGGUGCGGCCCAGAAAUGCCAUUUGCUGCCUCCCGAAACUUUUUCCUCUUAUUGCAGCUGUCGGACCCGAGGUACUUUGCGUUGGUAACUUAUGGAUACGACGGAAGAAGGAGCAGAAAGCAACGACAGCAGGGGAAACUAUUUGCUCCACACAAUUUCUGCAAUAUGGCGAUAGCUAUGCCAGGACGAUGAAGUCCUCCCUUCGUCCUUCUCCAAGCUUGGAGCCUGACUUGGGUCCGGACGACGGAGUCUAAGUGGAACUACAUACAUAUAUGCAUGGCCAACUGGGGCUGUGGCUUUCACAGGCAGCCAACCAAAAGGGCGGGUGGUUUUUGGAAUUUUAAUAAAAUUGCAGCAUUGCCAACUAAAGAUA
Long non-coding RNA from Drosophila sechellia, 509 nucleotides. RefSeq lists it as uncharacterized. NCBI's taxonomy places the organism in Eukaryota, Metazoa, Arthropoda, Insecta, Diptera, Drosophilidae. The record is from RefSeq and is a predicted model, not a curated record. The transcript is spliced from 3 exons.